Molecule: ribosomal RNA, 422 nt
Filed under: uncultured Spirosoma sp.
Lineage: Bacteria; Pseudomonadati; Bacteroidota; Cytophagia; Cytophagales; Cytophagaceae
Description: bacterial SSU rRNA
Rfam family: Bacterial small subunit ribosomal RNA
Source: RNAcentral
UAGGGAAUAUUGGGCAAUGGACGCAAGUCUGACCCAGCCAUGCCGCGUGCAGGAUGAAGGCGCUCAGCGUUGUAAACUGCUUUUAUCAGGGAAGAACAGUAGUGGUGCGCCAUUAUGUGACGGUACCUGAGGAAUAAGCACCGGCUAACUCCGUGCCAGCAGCCGCGGUAAUACGGAGGGUGCAAGCGUUGUCCGGAUUUAUUGGGUUUAAAGGGUGCGUAGGUGGUUUUCUAAGUCUGGUUUGAAAGCUGGUGGCUUAACCAUCAGAUGUGGCUGGAAACUGGAGGACUUGAAUGCGUUGGCGGUAGCCGGAACGGGUCAUGUAGCGGUGAAAUGCAUAGAUAUGACCCAGAACACCGAUUGCGAAGGCAGGCUACUACGACGCGAUUGACACUGAGGCACGAGAGCAUGGGUAGCGAACA